Molecule: long non-coding RNA, 977 nt
Filed under: Salmo salar (Atlantic salmon)
Lineage: Eukaryota; Metazoa; Chordata; Actinopteri; Salmoniformes; Salmonidae
Description: lncRNA (ENSSSAG00000070772.2)
Source: RNAcentral
ACUGGAAUGUGAAAGGCCACAGAGACAGUGUAUAGCCAGACAACUGGAUGUUUCAGCUGAGAUCAUGACUGUCUGCCUGAACUCUCCCAGGUCCAUGCUGAUGACAGCACCAAAAACCCUGGGAAAUAUCACACAAGCUCCAGUCAAUGGUUGACUUGAUCUGGGCUAACACACCCAAGUGGGAGGAACUGGACAAAGAGAGACAACACAGCCAGAGCGAGUCCAAACCCACAAGCCCUUGCAGCAGUGACACCGCAGAAACAAGAAGUUGUUCUUUGGGUGACACACCUUGCUGUGCAGGUGACCCUCCUAAACUAGCAAGCAAACUCCUGCUACCUUUCCAGGCAAUCUUUCCUCUACCUCUUAGCUUCUUCACUCUUCACCACAGCAUGAAAAAUACCAAUCUUUCCUCUACCUCUUAGCUUCUUCACUCUUCACCGCAGCAUGAAAAAUACCAAUCUUUCCUCUACCUCUUAGCUUCUUCACUCUUCACCGCAGCAUGAAAAAUACCAAUCUUUCCUCUACCUCUUAGCUUCUUCACUCUUCACCGCAGCAUGAAAAAUAGGCAUUGCAGCGCAUUCAUAGAUUGACCAGGUGAAUCCAGGUGAAAGCUAUGAUCCCUUAUUGAUGUCACUUGUUAAAUCCACUUCAAUCAGAGUAGAUGAAGGGGACAGAGACAGGUUUUUAAGCCUUGAGACAAUUGUGUGCCAUUCAGAAGGGGCAAGACAAAAUAUUUGAGUGCCUUUGAACAGGGUAUUGUAGUAGGUGCCAGGUGCACCAAUUUGAGUGUGUCAAGAACUGCAAUGCUGCUGGGUUUUUCACGCUCAACAGUUUCCCUGUGUGUAUCAAGAAUGAUCCACCACCUAAAGGACAUCAAGAAAACUUGACAACUGUAGGAAGCAUUGGAGUCAACAUGGGCCAGCAUCCCUGUGGAACUCUUAACACACCUUGUAGUGUCCAUGACCUGACGAAUUGAG